This 490-nucleotide ribosomal RNA is filed under the name uncultured bacterium. Its description in RNAcentral is "partial 16S ribosomal RNA". It matches the Rfam family "Bacterial small subunit ribosomal RNA", at positions 28 to 507 of the family's 1533-position model. The record is from RNAcentral.
GUUGAACGCUGGCGGCAGGCCUAACACAUGCAAGUCGAACGGUAACAGGAAGAAGCUUGCUUCUUUGCUGACGAGUGGCGGACGGGUGAGUAAUGUCUGGGAAACUGCCUGAUGGAGGGGGAUAACUACUGGAAACGGUAGCUAAUACCGCAUAACGUCGCAAGACCAAAGAGGGGGACCUUCGGGCCUCUUGCCAUCGGAUGUGCCCAGAUGGGAUUAGCUAGUAGGUGGGGUAACGGCUCACCUAGGCGACGAUCCCUAGCUGGUCUGAGAGGAUGACCAGCCACACUGGAAGUGAGACACGGUCCAGACUCCUACGGGAGGCAACAGUGGGGAAUAUUGCACAAUGGGCGCAAGCCUGAUGCAGCCAUGCCGCGUGUAUGAAGAAGGCCUUCGGGUUGUAAAGUACUUUCAGCGGGGAGGAAGGGAGUAAAGUUAAUACCUUUACUCAUUGACGUUACCCGCAGAAGAAGCACCGGCUAACUCCGUG